GUAGGUGGCAAGCGUUGUCCGGAAUUAUUGGGGCGUAAAGCGCGCGCAGGCGGUCCUUUUAAAGUCUGAUGUGAAAGCCCACGGGCUCAACCGUGGAGGGGUCAUUGGAAACUGGGGGACUUGAGUGCAGAAGAGGAGAGUGGAAUUCCACGUGUAGCGGUGAAAUGCGUAGAGAUGUGGAGGAACACCAGUGGCGAAGGCGACUCUCUGGUCUGUAACUGACGCUGAGGCGCGAAAGCGUGGGGAGCGAACAGGAUUAGAUACCCCUGGUAGUCCACGCCGUAAACGAUGAGUGCUAAGUGUUAGAGGGUUUCCGCCCUUUAGUGCUGCAGCUAACGCAUUAAGCACUCCGCCUGGGGAGUACGGUCGCAAAGACUG
Molecule: ribosomal RNA, 378 nt
Filed under: uncultured organism
Description: partial 16S ribosomal RNA
Rfam family: Bacterial small subunit ribosomal RNA
Source: RNAcentral